AACUCUUGACAUCCAGAGAAGAGGCUAGAGAUAGCUUUGUGCCUUCGGGAGCUCUGAGACAGGUGCUGCAUGGCUGUCGUCAGCUCGUGUUGUGAAAUGUUGGGUUAAGUCCCGCAACGAGCGCAACCCUCGUCGUUAGUUGCUAACAGUUCGGCUGAGAACUCUAACGAGACUGCCUACGCAAGUAGGAGGAAGGUGAGGACGACGUCAAGUCAUCAUGGCCCUUACGACCAGGGCUACACACGUGCUACAAUGGGGUAUACAAAGAGCAGCAAUACGGUGACGUGGAGCGAAUCUCAAAAAUGCCUCCCAGUUCGGAUUGUAGUCUGCAACUCGACUACAUGAAGUUGGAAUCGCUAGUAAUCGUAGAUCAGCUAUGCUACGGUGAAUACGUUCCCGGGUCU
RNAcentral lists this ribosomal RNA (404 nucleotides) under uncultured bacterium. Its description in RNAcentral is "bacterial SSU rRNA". It matches the Rfam family "Bacterial small subunit ribosomal RNA", at positions 976 to 1381 of the family's 1533-position model. The record is from RNAcentral.